AAUCAACGCUGGCGGCGUGCCUCAGACAUGCAAGUCGAACGAGAAAGUCCCCUUCGGGGAGUGAGUAAAGUGGCGCACGGGUGAGUAACACGUAGGUAAUCUACCUUCGGGUGGGGAAUAACCCAGGGAAACUUGGGCUAACACCGCAUAAUGCAGCGGCACCACAUGGUGACAGUUGUUAAAGCGGGGGAUUUUAGGACCUCGCGCCUGAAGAGGAGCCUGCGGCGGAUUAGCAGUUGGUGAGGUAACGGCUCACCAAGGUGACGAUCCGUAGCCGGCCUGAGGAGGGCGGUCGGCCACACUGACACUGACAUACGGGUCAGACUCCUACGGGAGGCAGCAGUCGGG
RNAcentral lists this ribosomal RNA (348 nucleotides) under uncultured bacterium. Its description in RNAcentral is "bacterial SSU rRNA". It matches the Rfam family "Bacterial small subunit ribosomal RNA", at positions 32 to 359 of the family's 1533-position model. The record is from RNAcentral.